This 342-nucleotide ribosomal RNA is filed under the name uncultured Glissomonadida. RNAcentral describes it as "SSU rRNA". The stretch from base 60 to 342 matches the Rfam family "Eukaryotic small subunit ribosomal RNA", at positions 679 to 955 of the family's 1831-position model. The record is from RNAcentral. Lineage: Eukaryota; Cercozoa; Glissomonadida.
GAUUUCUGGUGUGACUGCAACUUGACCCGCCAGGGUUCGCCUUGUUUGUGUGUGUCGGGUUGUGUCUACCAUCCUUCUAAGUUUCCUUGUGCCACCUUUGAUUAGGUGCUGUGUAGGGUUGACUUAGAUCGUUGACUUUGAACAAAUUAGAGUGUUUCAGGCAGGCUUUUCUUUUGCUUUGAAUACAUGAGCAUGGAAUCAUCAGAUAGGGCUUUUCGGCUUUUGUCUGAUUGGUCAACAGAGCUGAAGUCAUGAUGGAUAGGGAUAGUUGGGGGUGCUAGUAUUCAGCGGCCAGAGGUGAAAUUCUCGGAUUCGCUGAAGACUGACUGAUGCGAAAGCAUU